ACAAUGCGGGACUAUCAGUCUUGCAAUUGGAUUGAGAACAAUGUACAACUCUUAUCGAUAAGCCAUUGGAGGGCAAGUCUGGUGCCAGCAGCCGCGGUAAUUCCAGCUCCAAUAGCGUAUAUUAACGUUGUUGCAGUUAAAAAGCUCGUAGUUGAAGUGUGGGUGAUCGCUGUUGUGAGACUUCGGUCUCUCGACAGUAAGUCACCCCCUUCCAGUAUCCAGUAGUGGGUAUUCAGUUACUUACUAUUGUGUGUUGGUCAUUUACUGUGAGAAAAUUAGAGUGUUCAAAGCAGGCGUUUGCUUGAAUAGAUUAGCAUGGAAUAAUAAUUGAAGGCUUUCGUGUUCGAUUUGAUUGGUUUGUUCAUGGAAGCAAGGUUAAAAGGAACAGUUGGGGGUAUUCAUAUUCACUAGUUAGAGGUGAAAUUCUCGGAUUUAUGGAA
RNAcentral lists this ribosomal RNA (440 nucleotides) under Blastocystis sp. RNAcentral describes it as "SSU rRNA". It matches the Rfam family "Eukaryotic small subunit ribosomal RNA", at positions 477 to 933 of the family's 1831-position model. Lineage: Eukaryota; Bigyra; Opalinata; Blastocystidae. The record is from RNAcentral.